GUUUGGAAAAGGCAAACUAUUCGAAAGACUGGGACGCAAAGCUUCUGGCCUAAGUCCAAAAGGAUAUGGCAGCAGAGCCGCCGAG
Molecule: regulatory RNA element, 85 nt
Organism: Syntrophobacter fumaroxidans MPOB
Lineage: Bacteria; Pseudomonadati; Thermodesulfobacteriota; Syntrophobacteria; Syntrophobacterales; Syntrophobacteraceae
Rfam family: c-di-GMP-I riboswitch aptamer
About the family: GEMM was predicted in a large-scale screen for bacterial structured RNA regulatory elements.
Source: Rfam